Molecule: ribosomal RNA, 460 nt
Filed under: uncultured bacterium
Lineage: Bacteria
Description: partial 16S ribosomal RNA
Rfam family: Bacterial small subunit ribosomal RNA
Source: RNAcentral
CCUACGGGAGGCAGCAGUGAGGAAUAUUGGUCAAUGGCCGGAAGGCUGAACCAGCCAUGCCGCGUGAAGGUCAGUGCCCUUUGGGCGUUAAACUUCUUUUGUGCGGGAGCAAUAAUGGUCACGUGUGGCCAGACGAGAGUACCGUACGAAUAAGCAUCGGCUAACUCCGUGCCAGCAGCCGCGGUAAUACGGGGGAUGCAAGCGUUAUCCGGAUUUAAUGGGUUUAAAGGGUGCGUAGGUUGUGAGGUAAGUCAGCGGUGAAAUGCCCCCGCUCAACGGGGUGAAGUGCCAUUGAUACUGCCUUGCUGGAGUGCGGAUGCGGUAGGAGGAAUGUGUGGUGUAGCGGUGAAAUGCAUAGAUAUCACACAGAACACCGAUUGCGAAGGCAUCUCACGGAUCCGCGAUUGACGCUGAUGCACGAAAGCGUGGGUAGCAAACAGGAUUAGAUACCCUAGUAGUC